UGGGGAAUAUUGCACAAUGGGCGGAAGCCUGAUGCAGCGACGCCGCGUGGGGGAUGAAGGCCUUCGGGUUGUAAACUCCUUUCGACAGGGACGAAGCUUUUGUGACGGUACCUGUAUAAGAAUCACCGGCUAACUACGUGCCAGCAGCCGCGGUAAUACGUAGGGUGCGAGCGUUGUCUGUAAUUACUGGGCGUAAAGAGCUCGUAGGUGGUUUGUCGCGUCGUCUGUGAAAUUCCGGGGCUUAACUCCGGGCGUGCAGGCGAUACGGGCUGGCUUGGGUGCUGUAGGGGAGACUGGAAUUCCUGGUGUAGCGGUGAAAUGCGCAUAUAUCAGGAGGAACACCGAUGGCGAAGGUAGGUCUCUGGGCAGUAACUGACGCUGAGGAGCGAAAGCAUGGGUAGCGAACAGG
RNAcentral lists this ribosomal RNA (409 nucleotides) under Actinomycetes bacterium. RNAcentral's name for it is "Actinobacteria bacterium partial 16S ribosomal RNA". It matches the Rfam family "Bacterial small subunit ribosomal RNA", at positions 355 to 776 of the family's 1533-position model. The record is from RNAcentral. Lineage: Bacteria; Bacillati; Actinomycetota; Actinomycetes.